This 873-nucleotide ribosomal RNA is filed under the name uncultured archaeon. RNAcentral describes it as "bacterial SSU rRNA". It matches the Rfam family "Archaeal small subunit ribosomal RNA", at positions 22 to 903 of the family's 1478-position model. The record is from RNAcentral.
GGCUACCGCUAUUGGAGUUCGAUUAAGCCAUGCGAGUCUAGAGGCCUAGCCUCGGCGUACCGCUCAGUAACACGUGGGUAACCUACCCUAUGCUAGGGGAUAAGCUCGGGAAACUGAGAAUAAUACCCCAUAGUCCACUACGCCUGGAACGGUGAGUGGAUCAAAGCUCCGGCGGCAUAGGAUGGGCCUGCGGCGUAUCAGGUUGUAGGGGGUGUAACGUACCCUCUAGCCAUCCACACGUACGGGUGUUGGGAGACAUUGCCCGGAGAUGGAUUCUGAGACACGAAUCCAGACCCUACGGGGUGCAGCAGGCGCGAAAACUUGGCAAUGCGAGAAAUCGUGACCAGGGAACUCCAAGUGGCAGGGGUAAGACCCUGUCUUUUUCCGACUCUAAAUAGGUCGGCGAAUAAGGGGUGGGUAAGGACGGUGCCAGCCGCCGCGGUAAUACCGGCGCCUCAAGUGGUAGUCGCUUUUAUUGGGCCUAAAACGUCCGUAGCCGGUCUGGUACAUUCGUGGGUAAAUCAACUCGCUUAACGAGUUGAAUUCUGCGAGGACGGCCAGACUUGGGACCGGGAGAGGUGUGGGUACUCUCAGGGUAGGGGUAAAAUCCUGUCAUCCUGAGAGGACCACCUGUUGCGAAGGCUCCACACUAGAACGGAUCCGACGGUCAGGGACGAAGCCUAGGGGCACGAACCGGAUUAGAUACCCGGGUAGUCCUAGGUGUAAACGCUGUGGACUUGAUGUUGGGGACGCUCCGAGCGUUCUCAGUGUCGAAGCGAAGGUGAUAAGUCCACUGCCUGGGGAGUACGGUCGCAAGGCUGAAACUUAAAGGAAUUGGCGGGGGAGCACCGCAACCUGAGGAUUGUGCGGUUU